This 553-nucleotide long non-coding RNA is filed under the name Pan troglodytes (chimpanzee). Its description in RNAcentral is "long non-coding RNA NONPTRT011205". Lineage: Eukaryota; Metazoa; Chordata; Mammalia; Primates; Hominidae. The record is from RNAcentral.
GUCUCCUCUCCACCCUGUGGGUGGGUACAACACAGAAAGAGUCAAAUCUUUCAUUUAUCAACCUUUUAAACCAUCGAAGACAGUGAUCAUGCCGUCCUUAGGGAGGAUUAUUGGGAUUCAGGGAAUAGAGAUGAAAUGUUGUGUUAUGAGUGGAUGGGCUGAGCACAGACAUCACAUGUGUCACCAGGCUACAGAAAAGUUUGCGAAUCAACCCUUCUGCUUCUACCUUCAUAUAUUUGGAUAAACCAGCUCCCGAGAGAGAAGAACAUAGGGCUCUAAAAGUAGGAAAAAUGGUGGAACAAAGAAACCUUGAUGAAGAGGUAAGGCAUGAGUGGUUCAGUGAAUGAAGCUGUAGUUUUGCUGGUCGUCUUGAAACAUAGUGGCCACACCUAAAGAACAGCUGAAGACCCUCCUGGGUUCAUCCUCUUAAGCAGACAUGUGCCUCACAUGCCCACAUCUGCAACUUCCAGGGCUUUCUGUAGUGAGAGGAGAAUGGAAUUUUGCUCUCUGGACUCGGAACAACAUUGCAGGGAGGGAUAGUGGGGGUUCCCUG